GAUAAAUCGUCCACAUAAUUUCUCAAAGAAAUUAAUUUGUCAUCCCUUGACAAGUUCAAAGUUGUAAAAGAGUUUCCCACUAUGAAGAUGUCGGAAGUUCCCCUCAAAUUUGAAACCCGUCUAAUUGCUUCGUUAAGAGCAGACAUCCGUUUUUUUUAAGGUCAUUUGGUGAGACCUGAUGUGGCUCUUGCAUGGAUGCAGGUGUUGUUCUGUGUUCCUUGAAAAAAAUCAAGAGAAGCAUCAAUUAAAAGAAUUUUCAUGGCUUCUUAACGUACUUUCCAUGUCAGGGGAAGUUUCAUUUUCUUUGCUAAUUGCAACUAUACUCUCUUUUGAAAGUAAGGCAUGUUGAAAUAUAUUUCUCUAACAAACUUA
Molecule: long non-coding RNA, 372 nt
Organism: Papaver somniferum (opium poppy)
Lineage: Eukaryota; Viridiplantae; Streptophyta; Magnoliopsida; Ranunculales; Papaveraceae
Exons: 2
Source: RefSeq, a predicted model, not a curated record